Molecule: long non-coding RNA, 3970 nt
Organism: Passer domesticus (house sparrow)
Lineage: Eukaryota; Metazoa; Chordata; Aves; Passeriformes; Passeridae
Exons: 3
Source: RefSeq, a predicted model, not a curated record
UGCAGCCCCGUCCGGGCGCUGUUUGCUCCCAGUUCCCUCCCAGUAUCGCUCUUACUGGGGAAGCUGGGAGGGAAAGCGCUCCCAGUUCUUUCCCGGUGCUCUCCGGAGCUCUCCCGGUACUCUCCCUGUUGUUCCCAGUGCUCCCAAUAUCACUCCCAGUGGUCUGAAUGGCCUUCAGGGCUGCUCUGAAACCCACUCGGGCAAAAGCACGGCCGUAUUUGGGUGCCGGCACCAGCUCGGGCCGGCCCGGGAGAAGAGGGAGGAGGAGCGGGAGGAAGAGCACUGACAGCAGCAGCACCAUGCGGCUCCCGCCCGCUCAGGCCGCAGCCCCACUCCCCACCCCCGUUUCAGUGGCAUCGCCCCCCCGGAACCCGCAGGAUUUCCCAUUCCCACACCUUGGCCGGAUGGAGGAAGAGGAGAGCGCCAGGAAGAGGUUCCAGGGCACAAGGCAGACAAGGAGCUGAGACCAGGGAGGACAAAUCCCUGCAGCAGAACCUUGUGGAAGAGGCCGUUUUGAGCAGCUCCAUGGUGCAGAAAUCCAAUGGAGAGGAAAAGCCCUGGAGAUCCCACACAAGGAGAGGCUGCAAACACAGAUCAUGGGGAUCGGAGGAGGAAAGACCCACCCUGGGCUGGGGAGGUGGCCGGAGCUUGGAGCUGGGAAUCCAUGAGCAGCUUCAGGAUGGGGAGAAGCCCCACAAGUGCUCAAAAUGUGGGAAGAACUUCAGCAAGAGAACCUCCCUGAUCUGCCACUGGAGAAUCCACACAGGGGAAUGGCCCUACGAGUGUAGUGAGUGUAGGAAGAGCUUCAGGACAAGCUCUGACGUGAUUGUCCACCUGAGUAGCCACACAGGGGACUGGUCUGUGAAUGUAGGGAGUGUGGGAAGAGCUUCAGGAUGAGCUCUGACCUGAUCUGACACAUGGGAAUCCACACAGGGGAACGGCCCUAUCAGUGUCCCGAUUGCAGGAGGAGCUUCAGGAUGAGCUCUGACAAUCAGCUCCUCUGAUUGUCCACCAGGGGAGCCACCCAGAGUUGUAUAAUUAAGGUAGUUAUAUGAUUAGAUACAUUUUAGUUACAAAAAAUUAUAUAUAUAUAUAUAUAAAAAUUGUAUAAAUACAAAAAUUAUUUAAAAUUAUAUAUAUAAUAAUAAAAUUAUAAUUGGGAUUAUCGUGAAAGAGAGAGUAGGGGUAGGGGGAAAAAGGACAGGAGCCUCCGGAGUCAAAGACCGAAUCUUCAUAGAAGUAUGAUCAAUGUUUAUUGUUAGGGUCAGAAUACAUUUAUAUGGUUAUCCAGAGUUCAACUGACACAAGAAAGUAUCUGAUUGGUUAACAAAGCACUGUGCAUAAAACAAAGAGCAUUUCUUAAACAUAUCUUGGUCACAUAGCUUAGCUUGUCAGCAAUAUCAGCAGAACAUCUCAUCCUCUGCUAGCAUCUUCAGACCAUGUUCUUGCACAUCCUCUUCCCUUGGAUGCUGUAGCUCUCGCACGCUGCGGUCGCUCGGAGCGAAGGGACGCCGGCCAGCUGCUCCCUGUGUGGCCACAGAGGGGCGAUACAAGACUGGCCGCUCCCAGGCUCUCGCUGAGACUGCCCAGGUAGUGGUGACAGCUGCGGCGUGGGUGACGCAGGCUGGUGUGAGGUACGAGGUCCCGAGGUAAAGGAGUGAAAGAAGGAACCCUUGUAUAGGUUCCAAGGAAACUUUAAUCCAAGGAGGGUCCAGGGAUAAGUGUGAAGGGAGAAGGGUUUGGCUAGCCCUUAUAAAGUGAGUGGGCGUGGGGCGUGGAGGCAUGAGGGAACCAAUAGGUGAAGGUAAAGGAAGGCUGACGUAACACAAAAGGCCCAAUGAGAAGCACAUGGGGGAGGGAGGAGGCCUUGAGGACAAAUCAGGAGCUAGGCUGGGGAUGAGUGACAUAGAAGUCUCUCGAAAAAAAGAGGGGGGGUUAGCAUGACAGACAGGGGCAGGAGGCAGCACCAUGGGGAUUGACAUAACCAUAUAAGGGCUUAGGGGGAGGAACAAGGGACUCCUCACUUUGAUUGGCAGGCCAGUGGCGGGAAAAAUGGGGGGAAAAACAACUUUGGAACAAACCAUCAUAGGGGGUUUACACGGGGGGGGGAAAGGAACAAACCAUUACUUAAACUAACAAAGAAUAAUUAAUUUUCAUAACAACUUCAACUUAUACUUUUUAAAACACGCAACGCCACAAGUGCAGUUGGAAAACGUUCUUAUGCUAGCUGUCCAAGGGCAGCAUGCUUCUGCUAUCAGGCACAUACACAGAGUGUUGGCAAGCAUGCUUCUAAAUCCACAGAAUGUCCAUUGUUUUUACCUGCAGGGUUGUGCACAUAGGCCAUAGCAUCUGCCCAAAAUGCUCUCUAACAAUAAAGUUGCAUUUUUUCUCUUAAUAGUGUGAGGGAAAAGGGCUUUUCUGGAGUACAACAAUGUGUUUGUCUUUUUUAAAGAGCUUUAGUGAGCUUUUUAAGGGUUUUUGAGCUUCAGAUGUCAAAGUUGUAGGAGAUUUGAUGUUAUAGUCUCUUCUUAAUAGGUUAAAAAGUGGAGUAAGUUCAUAAUUUGUAAUUCUUAAAACAGAUCUGACCUAAUUUAUCUCUCCUAAAAGCUGUUGUGAAUCUUGUAUGGUGUUGACAUUGGUUCAAAAUUGUAUUUUUUGUGGUUUGACUGUUUGUUCUGUUAUCUUUUAUCUUAAAUAUUUCUAGGGUGAGAUUUCUUUUAUUUUGAUGUUGAAAUUUUUAGUCUAACAUUUUGAACUUCAGUGAUAAUGCUGUCUUGAGUCUGUUCUAUUUAUUUUUGAGUUGAUGCUGCAAUGAGUAAGUCAUUCAUGUAGUGUAAAAAUCUUAAUAAUGGGUGUUUUUGUUGGGCUGGAGACAAAGCGCUCACCGUGAAAUAUUGAUAAAUAGUAGGUGAGUUUUCGUACAUGGUUGCAAAACUGCCUAGUGAUACUUUAUAGAGGUUUCUCUCUAUUGAUGGUUGGAACUGAAAAGGUAAAUCAAGAAGCAUCUUCUGGAUGCAAUGGAAUGUUUAAAAAACAAUCUUUUAAGUUGAAGACAAGAGGCCACUCCUCUGGAAUUAUUGAAAGAGAAUGAAGUCUAGGUUACAAAUGUCUUAUGUCUUUAUGUCUUCUAUGAUUUCAUUGAUCUUCUUUAGGUCAUGGAGCAAUCUUUAGGAAUCAGAAGUCUUCUUACGAAUGAUAAAAACUGGGGAAUUCUAGGGACUGUUUGUGGGUUUGAUGUGGCUUUUUUUUUAGUUGUUCACUUACUAAUUUCUUUAGGGCAUUCAAUUUUUUUUUUUGUUCAAGAGGCCAUUGAUCAAUCCAAAUGGGCUGAUUGGUUUUCUAUGAUAACUUCAGAGUGGUAGGCAUUGUUGUGGUUUCUAUCAAAAACCUGCUUCUAUCUUCACUCACCACUGAGACAACACAUCUCCCCUCCAUGCUGUGAUGGGCUUCUGCACCAUGAAGGGACGGAUGGUUGCUGUCUUUCUUUUGGUAACAGUGAUUAUGAAUUGAUUUUAUAGACACAAGGCAGCUCAUCUAAUUCUUGUGAGAGUACACAUGGGUGUCCCCAAAUUCUAAUCACUCGGCUAAAAUGCAUGAGAAAUCACAGUGACAUCUGCCCCUGUGUCUAGUCUACUAGUAAUAUGAACUGUUUUACUAAGGUGUGUUAGACUGCGCGUCAGUUCUGGCCAUUCAUUGUCAACACGUUUUAUCUAAAGGACAUUAGGCACCGGGCUAAAACUCUCAAAAGGCAUUUCUCAGCAUACACUUUGUUUGCUAAUAUUCAUUGGUAAUGCAAUAGCAAUAGCUAUUGUUGGUAUUGGUUGAAUUACCAUUGGAGCGUUGUAGGCAAGAGCUAAAAUCAUUAGCUCUUCAUUACAAUUUGCUGAAAUGACAGCUGGAAAAAACUGAAAGUCUAAGAAUUCUAUUUCUGUCCUUGUCUAUAAUUAAAAAGUAUUCUCUUUGUUGUGAA